AGUCAAAUUCUCUAACCAGAAGACUAAAACCCAGGACUCUGACCUUGUGACCAGAGAAUUCUUUUAAGCUGUUGGGAGUGAGAAGGUUAAGAAGAAGAA
This is a long non-coding RNA of Thalassophryne amazonica, 99 nucleotides long. RefSeq lists it as uncharacterized. The transcript is spliced from 3 exons. Lineage: Eukaryota; Metazoa; Chordata; Actinopteri; Batrachoidiformes; Batrachoididae. The record is from RefSeq and is a predicted model, not a curated record.